CCGUGCUAGAUGGGGAGGUGGCGGUGCCCUGUAACUCGCAAUCCGCCUUAGCGGGGUUGAAUUCCUAUCUGAGGCUUAUUCUGUGUGAGGCUUGGUCUUUCUGGACAGUGUUGACGAUUGGGUCCUACGCAACGAGUACUUCUGAACCGUGUCAGGUCCUGACGGAAGCAGCACUAAGGUUGGCUUCUCGUGUGCCGUAGGGUUGCCUGGUUUGAGCUGGAAGGGAAGUUACCGCUUGGACAGAUAAGUCAAAGAUAGGUGCACGG
Molecule: signal recognition particle RNA, 266 nt
Filed under: Shimazuella alba
Lineage: Bacteria; Bacillati; Bacillota; Bacilli; Caryophanales; Thermoactinomycetaceae
Description: Bacterial large signal recognition particle RNA
Rfam family: Bacterial large signal recognition particle RNA
About the family: The signal recognition particle (SRP) is a universally conserved ribonucleoprotein involved in the co-translational targeting of proteins to membranes. Archaeal SRP consists of a 7S RNA and homologues of the eukaryotic SRP19 and SRP54 proteins.
Source: Rfam by way of RNAcentral